UCACGCUGGGAGCUGUAGACCGGAGCUGUUCCUAUUCGGCCAUCUUGAAUUGUAGGCAUUUUUAAAAACAGACUCUGGAGAUGAAUCUUUUCUAGUUAUAUACUUUGUAUUACAUUUAUGCACUGUCUGCUGCCAAAGAUCUGAAACCAAUGAUCUCAUAUAUAUGGUACAGUUUUCUAGUUAUUUACAGUGGGAGAGUAAAUUAUCCAUGCUCAGAAGUAGUGUGUACUAGUCUCAGUAAGUCAAUGGGUUUCCCUGGAUCCAGGCUUGGAGAAAAUGUUUUCUCUUCUCUAUCUGCAAUUCUCCUGAACCAAUUCUGACGGAUAAUAUGACUGUGUCAACCACAAAAGAGGAAAAGAAUGGGCUUUAAAUCCCGCCUUUACAGCCAUCCAAGCUCCUUCUUCAAAGGAUGGAACUUUAAGGAUGGAACCAAUUGGCUACAAAUCAUUUUAGCUGAUGCACUGAGACAAUUCUGAAGCAAACUGUCUUAUCCUGGAUUUUGUCAGUAACUGGAGUUGAAGGACUUGAAGAUUCUCAAGGAUUGAUCCAGAAUAUGUUCCAGCAAAAACUACAGCAGAGUAACUUUGACAAGAAAAAUGUUCACUUGCUACCUAAGGAGAGUCUCUGUCUCCUGACCUCUGAAUUUCGAAAUCCUCAGCUCUGGCUGCCACGCAGUGGGAACCGAAUGAGAUGGCUGGGCAGGGUUCUGCAACACAGCAGAAACCCCAGGCUUCCCAAGACCCAGGAUCAGAACUGUAUAAUGUCACUUCUGCCUCACUUUGUUGGACAAAGUAUGUCACAAGAUCAUCUCAGUGGUGGUAAAAUUAUUAUUAUUAUUAUUUUAAGGCAGAGUCUCACUUUGUCACCCAGGCUGGAGUGCAGUGGUGUGAUC
Molecule: long non-coding RNA, 892 nt
Filed under: Homo sapiens (human)
Lineage: Eukaryota; Metazoa; Chordata; Mammalia; Primates; Hominidae
Description: HSALNT0362265
Source: RNAcentral